This 61-nucleotide transfer RNA is filed under the name Mastinocerus sp. MAS01. Its description in RNAcentral is "tRNA-Thr". The record is from RNAcentral. Lineage: Eukaryota; Metazoa; Arthropoda; Insecta; Coleoptera; Phengodidae.
AUUUUAAUAAUUUAAAAAAAUAUUGGUCUUGUAAACCAAAAAUAAAUCACUUUUUAAAAUU